RNAcentral lists this ribosomal RNA (522 nucleotides) under uncultured bacterium. RNAcentral's name for it is "bacterial SSU rRNA". It matches the Rfam family "Bacterial small subunit ribosomal RNA", at positions 57 to 630 of the family's 1533-position model. The record is from RNAcentral.
GCAGUCGACGCCCCGCAGGGGAGUGGCAGACGGGUGAGUAACGCGUGGGAAUCUACCUAGUUCUACGGAACAACUGAGGGAAACUUCAGCUAAUACCGUAUACGCCCUACGGGGGAAAGAUUUAUCGGAAUUAGAUGAGCCCGCGUAAGAUUAGCUAGUUGGUGGGGUAAUGGCCUACCAAGGCGACGAUCUUUAGCUGGUCUGAGAGGAUGAUCAGCCACACUGGGACUGAGACACGGCCCAGACUCCUACGGGAGGCAGCAGUGGGGAAUAUUGGACAAUGGGCGCAAGCCUGAUCCAGCCAUGCCGCGUGAGUGAUGAAGGCCUUAGGGUUGUAAAGCUCUUUCAGUGGGGACGAUAGUGACGGUACCCACAGAAGAAGCCCCGGCCAACUUCGUGCCAGCAGCCGCGGUAAUACGAAGGGGGCUAGCGUUGUUCGGAUUUACUGGGCGUAAAGCGCACGUAGGCGGAUCGUUAAGUCGGGGGUGAAAUCCUGGAGCUCAUCUCCAGAACUGCCUUCAA